GACGAACGCUGGCGGCGUGCUUAACACAUGCAAGUCGAACGGAAAGGCCCUGCUUUUGUGGGGUGCUCGAGUGGCGAACGGGUGAGUAACACGUGAGUAACCUGCCCUUGACUUUGGGAUAACUUCAGGAAACUGGGGCUAAUACCGGAUAGGAGCUCCUGCUGCAUGGUGGGGGUUGGAACGUUUCGGCUGUUGGGGAUGGACUCGCGGCUUAUCAGCUUGUUGGUGGGGUAGUGGCUUACCAAGGCUUUGACGGGUAGCCGGCCUGAGAGGGUGACCGGCCACAUUGGGACUGAGAUACGGCCCAGACUCCUACGGGAGGCAGCAGUGGGGAAUAUUGCACAAUGGGCGGAAGCCUGAUGCAGCAACGCCGCGUGCGGGAUGACGGCCUUCGGGUUGUAAACCGCUUUCGCCUGUGACGAAGCGUGAGUGACGGUAAUGGGUAAAGAAGCACCGGCUAACUACGUG
This 468-nucleotide ribosomal RNA is filed under the name uncultured bacterium. RNAcentral describes it as "partial 16S ribosomal RNA". It matches the Rfam family "Bacterial small subunit ribosomal RNA", at positions 28 to 507 of the family's 1533-position model. The record is from RNAcentral.